GACGAACGCUGGCGGCGUGGAUUAGGCAUGCAAGUCGAACGGUAUCAUCCUUUCGGGGAUGAGAGAGUGGCGAACGGGUGAGUAACACGUAGGUGAUCUACCCUCAAGACGGGGACAACCCAGGGAAACUUGGGCUAAUACCGGAUGUGAGCUAUCGUGAGAUAGUUUGAAAGGUGGCUUCGGCUGCCGCUUGAGGAUGAGCCUGCGUCCCUAUUAGCUAGUUGGUGAGGUAACGGCUCACCGAGGCAGUGAUAGGUAGGCGGCCUUAACGGGUGGUCGCCCACACUGGGAUUGAGAUACGGCCCAGACUCCUACGGGAGGCAGCAGUCGAGAAUAGUCUACAAUGGUCGAAAGACUGAUAGUGCGACGCCGCGUGAACGAAGAAGCCCUUACGGGUGUAAAGUUCUUUUAUAUGUGAGCAGUGACAUCUAUAUUAAUAGUAUGGGUGUAGAGAUAUUAGCAUAUGAAUAAGCAACGGCUAACUCCGUGCC
Molecule: ribosomal RNA, 491 nt
Filed under: uncultured bacterium
Lineage: Bacteria
Description: bacterial SSU rRNA
Rfam family: Bacterial small subunit ribosomal RNA
Source: RNAcentral